RNAcentral lists this long non-coding RNA (1380 nucleotides) under Sarcophilus harrisii (Tasmanian devil). Its description in RNAcentral is "lncRNA (ENSSHAG00000028927.1)". Lineage: Eukaryota; Metazoa; Chordata; Mammalia; Dasyuromorphia; Dasyuridae. The record is from RNAcentral.
CAGAGCAGACUUUAUUUAACAAAAUAAAAAUAAAACAAGAUACCCAACAAUUAAUAAAAAAGAGAAGUUUUAUAUUUGAACUCAUAAAUAGUGAAGAAAAUGUUUUCAUUCUUUGAGAGAAUCCUCAGGAUCAAUGUUCUCAUGGAAGAUAAAUGAAACUGAUAAAUCAUUAAUAAUGAUAAUAAUUCCCUCUAUAUGAGAGGAUUAAAAGCUCUAUAACAUUCAUAUUGCCUUUAUUUAUUAUUAUAAAAUCUUUGACUAAUUCUGCAGUCAUCACAUAUUCAUAUACUAGAAAUACAUAAAGCUUACCCAAGUAUAAUGAGAAUAGUAGAUUAUUAGAUAUUAAAUGAAAAAGUUACAAUAUAUUGUCUGAGGACCACAAAGAAUGUACCAAAUGUUCCAGGGCUGUAAAGAGCAAAUCAUUGUUGAAUAGUGGUUACUGAACAAAAUACAAAAGGAUCCGAUAAUAUUUAAACUACUUAGUGUUGGCUACAGAAAAAAGUUUGCCUUAUUUCUAUAUUUAUUUUUAUUUAAUAUAUUGCAGAUUAUAAAUAUAAAUAUAGCCAAUUGGGAUAAUUUUAUCUAAAUGGAAAAUUUUUAAAAAUUAGAAUAUUAAAAUGUAAAUGUGAUUAUAGAUUAAGUAAAUCAAUUAUCAUUCUUUCAUUUAAAAUAAAUACUAAAAUGCUACAUUCUCUUAUCUCAACAAGGUAAGAGUAAGUACCAAUCGAUUAAUUCAUUACAGAAUUUAAAAUAAGAGAGACAAUUUCUUGAUGAACUGGAGUGAUGCUGCACAGAAAAUAGAAGUGUGACUAGGAAAGCUUGAUAGUGACCUAGUUCAGAACCUGAGAGAUUUGAGUAAGUUCAGGGAAGACAAUAUCUUCUUCCCAUUAACCUGUGCAGUACCUUGUGAAAUUGAGUGGUCCUGCAAUAUUCCCAGUUGCCAUCAUCUUAACACUCUCACCAGAUCAGCUGAUAGAUCACAGUGUUUGCACCAGGAACAAAGGGCAUAUUGGACUGCAAUUCUACAUUCUGUAAGUAGAUCAUGAAAAAACUUAUCCAUAUAUCAGGAGAAUAUCUUGAGAACUUGGGCCAAAGGACUCCCAGAGCUCAGUUGUCUCAGUUGCAACCUCUCUUAAUUCAAUGGAUAAAUUUGAGAUCACUUUCACUUGAACAUUUUGGGAAAGAGUAGAUCACAUUUGGAGAAAGGGAUAUUUUAUACCAACCAUUAUUACCAAACCACUUUAGUAAACGCCCUUUCUAGAAGUUAAAGUAGAAAAUUGCAGGAGUUUGUGAUACAAAAUCAUUGCCAUUGGAAAUGACAGAAAGGUCAUCCUCAAGUCUCCUUUACUCUUUGAUGAAAUCAAAUUGUCCAAGGAAAUG